UGUUAACCGUUUUGCGUGAGGGAUAGAAGUGAAAAGCCCACAGCCGUGAGGAACGAACAGGCGAGGACUUGUAGCGGAUAGCCCGACCCGGA
This 92-nucleotide unclassified non-coding RNA is filed under the name Flavobacterium aquidurense. RNAcentral's name for it is "Flavo-1 RNA". The record is from RNAcentral. Lineage: Bacteria; Pseudomonadati; Bacteroidota; Flavobacteriia; Flavobacteriales; Flavobacteriaceae.